UCCCUGGUGGUCCAAUGGCUAAGACUCUGGGCUCCCAACGCAGGGACCUGGGUUCAAUCCCUAGUUGGGGAA
Molecule: transfer RNA, 72 nt
Filed under: Bos taurus (domestic cattle)
Lineage: Eukaryota; Metazoa; Chordata; Mammalia; Artiodactyla; Bovidae
Also listed under: 3 other names
Rfam family: tRNA
About the family: Transfer RNA (tRNA) molecules are approximately 80 nucleotides in length.
Source: Rfam by way of RNAcentral